RNAcentral lists this ribosomal RNA (254 nucleotides) under uncultured bacterium. Its description in RNAcentral is "partial 16S ribosomal RNA". It matches the Rfam family "Bacterial small subunit ribosomal RNA", at positions 524 to 777 of the family's 1533-position model. The record is from RNAcentral.
UACGAAGGGGGCUAGCGUUGUUCGGAAUUACUGGGCGUAAAGCGAACGUAGGCGGUGUUCCAUGUCAGAGGUGAAAGCCUGGGGCUCAACUCCAGAAUUGCCUUUGAAACGGGGACGCUUGAGUCCGGGAGAGGAUGGCGGAAUUCCUAGUGUAGAGGUGAAAUUCGUAGAUAUUAGGAAGAACACCGGUGGCGAAGGCGGCCAUCUGGCUCGGUACUGACGCUCAGGUUCGAAAGCGUGGGGAGCAAACAGGG